This 160-nucleotide ribosomal RNA is filed under the name Bacillus sp. NC175. RNAcentral's name for it is "partial 16S ribosomal RNA". It matches the Rfam family "Bacterial small subunit ribosomal RNA", at positions 337 to 492 of the family's 1533-position model. The record is from RNAcentral. Lineage: Bacteria; Bacillati; Bacillota; Bacilli; Caryophanales; Bacillaceae.
UCCUACGGGGAGCAGCAGUAGGGAAUCUUUUGGCAAUGGGGGGAAGUCUGAUCCAGCAACGCCGCGUGAGUGAAGAAGGCUUUUGGGUCGUAAAACUCUGUGGUAGGGAAGGACAAGUGCUAGUUAAUAAGCUGGCACAGUGACGUACCUACAGAAAGCC